Molecule: ribosomal RNA, 449 nt
Filed under: uncultured bacterium
Lineage: Bacteria
Description: partial 16S ribosomal RNA
Rfam family: Bacterial small subunit ribosomal RNA
Source: RNAcentral
AACGAAUGCUGGCGGCAGGCCUAACACAUGCAAGUCGAACGCCCUAGCAAUGGGGAGUGGCAGACGGGUGAGUAACACGUGGGAACCUUCCCUAUACUACGGAAUAGCCCAGGGAAACUUGGAGUAAUACCGUAUACGCCCGAGAGGGGAAAGAUUUAUCGGUAUAGGAUGGGCCCGCGUCGGAUUAGCUAGUUGGUGAGGUAAUGGCUCACCAAGGCGACGAUCCGUAGCUGGUUUGAGAGAACGACCAGCCACACUGGGACUGAGACACGGCCCAGACUCCUACGGGAGGCAGCAGUGGGGAAUAUUGGACAAUGGGCGCAGGCCUGAUCCAGCCAUGCCGCGUGAGUGAUGAAGGCCUUAGGGUUGUAAAGCUCUUUUGCCGGGGACGAUAAUGACGGUACCCGGAGAAUAAGUCCCGGCUAACUUCGUGCCAGCCGCCGCAGUAA